AGCGAACGCUGGCGGCGUGCCUAACACAUGCAAGUCGAACGUGAAAGGGAGCAAUCCCAAGUAAAGUGGCGUACGGGUGAGUAACACGUAGGUAAUCUACCCCAGCAUCUGGAAUAACCGGCCGAAAGGCUGGCUAAUACUGGAUAGAGCGACGGAAUCCGUAAUUGGGUUUUUCGGGAAAGGGAGCCUGUAAAAAGGCCUUCGUUCUGGGAUGAGCCUGCGUCUGAUCAGCUAGUUGGUGAGGUAAAAGCUGACCAAGGCGAUGACGGGUAGCUGGUCUGAGAGGACGACCAGCCACACUGGGACUGAGACACGGCCCAGACGCCGACGGGAGGCAGAAGUGGGGAAUGGUGGACAAGGGGCGGAAGCCUGAUCCAGCAAUGCCGCGGGGUGGAAGAAGGCCUUCGGGGUGUAAAGAACGUUUGGCCGGAAAGAAAGCCUUGGCUCUAAUACAGUCGGGGGAUGACGGUACCGGAAGAAUAAGCACCGGCUAACUACGUG
RNAcentral lists this ribosomal RNA (501 nucleotides) under uncultured bacterium. Its description in RNAcentral is "partial 16S ribosomal RNA". It matches the Rfam family "Bacterial small subunit ribosomal RNA", at positions 30 to 507 of the family's 1533-position model. The record is from RNAcentral.